This 589-nucleotide long non-coding RNA is filed under the name Homo sapiens (human). RNAcentral's name for it is "HSALNT0392298". Lineage: Eukaryota; Metazoa; Chordata; Mammalia; Primates; Hominidae. The record is from RNAcentral.
UGGGUGGGGGUCCCCCGGGGAGCACAGCGCAGUGCUAGGGCCCCUGUAGCAGAUUCCCAGGAGACACACACCCAGCUGGGCCUGCUGACACUAGCCCUGCAUUCCCACACCCCCUCCCCUGGCCCUCUCAGCUGCCUUGUCCUCUCCUGGUCAGCUGCCUGGGGACACUGUCACGAUGCCUGGCCCCUGACCUUGCCCGAAGCUCCUCGGUGUCUGGACAUUCAGCCCGACAUGCUCUGAGGUUUGGGGCAGGUCCAGCACUCUGUGGGUCCACCCCAUCAGCCCUCAGGGUGGGACUCAUGCAGCCACAGUUUGAGAGUUCCAGGAACCACAAGUCCUGAGUCAGCGGGCACCUGACCCCUUAUGUCACCUGCCCCAGGUGGAAGGAGACGCUACAGGGACCAAGCAUGCCCCACCUUCGCUUCCGGGACCACAGAGCCCCUGGAGCCUGCACGCCACGGAGUCUCCCACUGAGGAGUGAGGAGGCCUCUUGUGGGGACAGAUCUGGAAUGAGUGGCAUCCAAACCUGACUCAUAUUUCCAACUUUAUUAAUUUUUGCAAGACUUCGGAGGGUGCUCUGUGGCGAUUA